This is a long non-coding RNA of Phasianus colchicus (ring-necked pheasant), 871 nucleotides long. RefSeq lists it as uncharacterized. The record is from RefSeq and is a predicted model, not a curated record. Lineage: Eukaryota; Metazoa; Chordata; Aves; Galliformes; Phasianidae.
GUGAAGGCAAUUCAGCUGUGUGACUGGAAGGGCUGGAGCCUGGAUCCACCUCUCCUGGGCCCCAUUUAAAGGCUGACUGCCAUUAAGGAAGGGCCUCUUUCUGGAGAUCUCUCUUCUGUGGAGUCUUUCUUUGAAACCUAGAUCUUCGGAUAUAGAACUUCCUCAAUCAGGUCCAUCCUAUCUGGCUGAUCUACAGUCUACCGUCUGCAUUAACUCUGGGGCUCCUGUAUCCUUUAUUGCAUAUUGUCUCCACUCUGCUGGAAUUCCUAGAGCUAAUCCAUUAACCACAAUACAUUAACUUCACAUCUUUCUGGUACUUGGAGCUUCAGACAACCUGACCUAGUGGAGGCUAUCUCUUGCCUACGGCAUUAGUGUUGAAACUGGAUGAUCUUUAACAUCCUUUCCAAUCAAAAAUAUGCUAUGAUUCUGUGAUUGAUUCUAUGAUUCCCAGAACUUAGGCAAUAGUCAUUUGAGCAAUAGAUCACUCUUACCACAGAUAAAACAAGGUAAAAGUAGCUGUCAGUGGUUUAUGGGCUGGUUCAACUCAGUUCUGUGUCUAAUGGGGUGUGGGGACCCCAGAGGAGAGGGUAGGGAGAUGGGCCUAAAACAAAACAGGCAAUGAUUUGAGGGGGAAAACUAAUUUACUAAAUAAGACAUAAAAGUGAAAGAUAACGAUAUAGUACAAUAUAAUCAGAAUGUAAGCCAAUAAAUAAAAUGACAGAAAGUGUCCAAAAAAAACCCAAAGGCUUUACUCUAAUGCUGAAGGUGAAAUGAUCUAGGGAGCAUGUGCUCCCAAGAUCAGUGAGAGGGGAAAGAGAGCACCUCUCAUGAUCUGUGAACAGUUUUAUCUUUCCCUCUGAACUGAAAUGGA